Molecule: ribosomal RNA, 352 nt
Filed under: uncultured bacterium
Lineage: Bacteria
Description: bacterial SSU rRNA
Rfam family: Bacterial small subunit ribosomal RNA
Source: RNAcentral
GGACCCGCACAAGUAGUGGAGCAUGUGGUUUAAUUCGAAGAUACGCGCAGAACCUUACCAACACUUGACAUGUUCGUCGCGACUUUAAGAGAUUAAAGUUUUCGGUUCGGCCGGACGAAACACAGGUGCUGCAUGGCUGUCGUCAGCUCGUGUCGUGAGAUGUUGGGUUAAGUCCCGCAACGAGCGCAACCCUCACUUUUAGUUGCCAGCAGGUUAAGCUGGGCACUCUAAUAGGACUGCCUGUGAUAAGCAGGAGGAAGGUGGGGAUGACGUCAAGUCCUCAUGGCCCUUACGUGUUGGGCUACACACGUGCUACAAUGGUAAUUACAGUGAGAUGCGAGACGGUAACGUU